CACAGCAUUGCCGUUGAAGGGAGGUCCACUACGCGCAGGCGCGCACCUGUGGUUCCUCUCUUCGCCUGGCGCGACUACAAUACAGAAUUCUGAGGGCCGCGCAGCUCUCACCCCGGUCUCCCCUGUCUUGCACACGAAGAUUCACAGCACAGCACAGCAUACCACACACUCCGAGUUACACGCACUCGCGCAUACAUUCUCAAAGGGCCCACGCGACGUGCGCCGUAGGUAACCCCUCUUUUCCUCUUUCUGCUACUCCCACUCCCACUGCCUCGCACACAAUCAAACACACACACACACACACACACACGCAAAUACAAAUCGAUAGACUGCGACGUGCGCUCAGCAAACAUGGGCAUUGCUGGGUUCUUUUUGUGGUUGCAGCGAUGGCACGGCGACUGCAUCGACAACAUCCCACAGGAUGUGGUAGAUGCUGCCUUCAAGGGUCAGACGCUUCCGCACAGCCAUGCCAGUGCGUACUCGUACGACAACUUCUAUGUGGACAUGAACGGGUUGAUUCACCCCUGCUGCCACGAUACGGCGCCGCUGCCGGAGCCAGAGAACGAGGAGGAGAUGUUUGAGCGCAUGUUCGACCAGCUUGACCUCCUCGUCAGGGUGGUGCGUCCGAAGAAGUGCCUCGUGCUGUGCGUUGAUGGCGUCGCCCCACGUAGCAAGAUGAAUCAGCAGCGCAGCCGUCGCUUCCGUGCCGCAGACGAGCGCCUGGAGAGCGACGCCAUCUCGAACGCCUGUGCAGACCGCAUUGUCUCCGAGUAUCACCUUCCCCGGCCACGCGUCCGGGAGCGCUGGGACCACAACGUCAUAACCCCGUCCACGGCGUUCAUGGAGCGCGUCGCCCUCGCGCUUGAGUGGUACAUUAUGAAGAAGCUAAACGAGGACGCCGCAUGGCGCCACUUGACGGUCGUCUUCUCGGACGCGCACGUGCCGGGCGAGGGCGAGCACAAGAUCAUGCAAUACAUCCGCGGCCUGCGCUCGCAGCCCGGCUAUGACUACAACACUAGCCACGUCAUUCACGGCAUGGAUGCCGACCUCAUCUGCCUCGGGCUGUCGACGCACGAGAAACAUGUCUGCAUCUUGCGCAACCAGCUCACCGAGACCUUCCAGCCAGAUCACAAUCGCUUCUGCUACUUUAACCUAAGCACGUACCGCGAGAAGCUUAUGCAGGACUUUUCGAACAUCGAGGGCAUGCAGUUCGAGCGCGUCGUGGACGACUUCAUCUUCCUCUGCUUCUUCGUCGGCAACGAUUUCUUGCCGCACGUGCCGCUCGUGUCCAUCAAGACGCGUGGCAUCGAGAUGCUCCUUGACCACUACGUGCGCGACUUCGCGCUGCACGGCUACUUGACCCAGCUCGGCGAGGUGGACUACGCCCACCUGCACAUCUUCCUCAUGAACUUCACUUCCAAGUGCAUGAUGAAGCUGACGAAGGAGUACUACGGCGUCGUCCGCGCUAAGGAGCGCGCAAAGCAGCACGUUGAGGAGCGCGUCACCAAGACGGAGGCUCAAGUAUCGGAGGUGCUGGGGACCUUGCUGCCAGAUCGCAGCAACGCACAAGAGGUCAGUGACGCGUUACUGGCGCUCAUGUCAUCUGCGCGGAAAGAGCGCACCCGCCUCGUCGUGGACAAGCAGCCGCUCGGGUUCUCCUACCUCGACAAGGCGUACCGCGACGCGUAUUACCAGCAUAAGUUCGGCUGGGACCCGUCGGCCAACCGUGCCGCCUUCGAGAGCCACAUUCGGCUCUGCUGUGCCGAGUACCUGCGUGGGUUGCAGUGGGUCAUGCGCUACUACACGAAGGGGUGCCCGUCGUGGGAGUGGUACUUUCCGUACCACUACGCCCCGCUGCUGCAGGACUUGGCGGCGUUCACGGCGACGGUGAAUGUCGAAAUGCGCAUGAGCGCUCCUCUUCAUCCAGUAGAGCAGCUGCUGGCGGUGCUACCGCGGCUGAGCGUGCACGCCCUGCCCGAGGAGCUGCACGAGGCCGUGAACGACCCCAAGUCCGUCUUGGGCAAGUUCUACCCCGCCAUCGUCGAUGUCGACUUUAGCGAAGCCAACUUCUCGUACCAAGGGGUACUGCGUAUUCCCUUCAUCAACUGCGAGGCCCUCAGCAAGGCCUGCCGACAGCUGGUUGAGUUGGAGGAGGACUUUGGCAGCACAUUCCUCUACUGCCAUGAGUCCACUUCACUAGCGAAACAGCUAGACGCUCUCACUGGGCCGAGCAACAGCGCAUUGCCGCUGGCGACCAGCCUGGCGCCGCCGGUGAUGCCGAUCCCCGCCUCGGUGGCAUCGACGAUGCCGGUUGCCGGCCGAGUGGGCCGCUAUGAGGCGGAGUGGCCUCGACACGAGGAGCUGCAGUGCCCCGACCCGGGCAUGGCCAAGUCCACGCGCUACGGUGGACGCAUCAAGUCGAACCAGGUGAACCAGUACCGCUACGAGCUCAGCACACAGGCCGACUACCGUCCCGUGCUCAUGGGCGAGGAGAAGGCGACCAAAAACGGGGCGGCGGCGGCGGCCGCAUCGAAGACGUCCAAGCGACUGGAAAAAGAUCAGUCACCGCCGCGGCACCGCAAGCGGGGCCGCGACGCAGACCACGUCGUCAACAGUAUCGACGCUAAACGCAAGAGAGGCUCCAGCCGGCACGACGACGACAGGGACAGGCGCGAGCGCCACCGCAGCAACGGCGAGAGGGAGCAGAAUGGCGGGAGCCGGCGCCGCAGCAAGGACGUCGACACGUGUGGGGCCUCUUCCUCCUCGCCUCACACCUCAUCUUCUAAGCAUCGCUCCAAGGAGGGGGAAAAGAAGCGCUCGCAGCACGAGACUGGAUCUCGCGAGAGUAAAAGUGAGGCUCACCCCGCACCCUUGUCUUCGUCAUCUCGACGCGCCAAGAAGAGCCGCGAAGCGAAGAAGGAACUGCGACCGUCCGAAAAGGUGACGCCGACCAAGCCGUCGCGGCACGCUCAUCGACAGCGGCGCGCGUGAGAGAGGAGGUUUGCUUGAGAGUCACUCCACAAGGAGGCAGCUGUGCUUUGCCGCGCGUGUGUGUCGGCCAUGCAUGCGCGGAGAGGCUCGCGUGUGCGCACGGCGCCGUGGAUGCUUGUCAAUCGCUUCCGGCGCUUUUGCACGUUGACUCCUCCGAUACCCAGCAACGCUUUGCGCGCCGAGGUGCGUGUACAUGCGCGUGGGCAAGUUGUGCUGUCGCUGCUGCUGCGCUCCGGCGCUCCAAGUAGUUUGUGUUGUCGUCGCGCUCGUUCCGCACAACCCUCCUCCAUCGCCCUCCCUCAUCGCAGCAUCACCGCAUCCCUGCCGUUUCGUGCCCGCUCCUCUUUCCUCGCGGGCAUUAUGAGUAGCCUACAACGAAACGAAGAGCGACAGCAGCGAUGCGCGUAACAACGACAUGCGCGACACGAUUCGUGUCGCGCAGCAAAUAACGCUGAGCUCCAUGGACUGAAGUACCGCUGAUCUCGCU
Molecule: unclassified non-coding RNA, 3478 nt
Filed under: Leishmania donovani
Lineage: Eukaryota; Euglenozoa; Kinetoplastea; Trypanosomatida; Trypanosomatidae
Description: gene:LdHU3.36.2430(CDS-product:5'-3'_exoribonucle ase_D-_putative)
Source: RNAcentral